GUUUAACAGAAAUGUAAUAAUAACAGUAGUAACGUUAAUGCUAUUGAAUGAGGUAGUAAUUAUUUCUUUAAGCUCUAAGUCUUAAAUAAACAGUGUAUGCCUAAGUCCAUUUCAGUGCUUCCAAGAAAAUAAGCAGCAAAGUUCUCUUCUGCUAAAAUGGAGAAUGAAGUAUUUGGGGAUGGAAAGGCAUUUAGCAAAGGCAGAAACUCUUACUGCUGUCUCUGGAGCUUGUCCCCAGACUCACCGUGGGAGAGUUAAAAGCUCAAUAGUACCACAGCCAUUCUUAUGCUAUUGGCAGUGCUGUAUAUGUGUUAUGCGCUACGACUUCCUUGAAGUGAGUUACCUCUAAAGAAGUUGCCGUUAGAAAUGCUGAUCAGCUCCUAAAUGCUGAGCCCCU
RNAcentral lists this long non-coding RNA (397 nucleotides) under Struthio camelus australis. RNAcentral's name for it is "lncRNA (ENSSCUG00000005614.1)". Lineage: Eukaryota; Metazoa; Chordata; Aves; Struthioniformes; Struthionidae. The record is from RNAcentral.